This 69-nucleotide transfer RNA is filed under the name Microhyla mixtura. Its description in RNAcentral is "tRNA-His". It matches the Rfam family "tRNA". Rfam says of the family: Transfer RNA (tRNA) molecules are approximately 80 nucleotides in length. Their secondary structure includes four short double-helical elements and three loops (D, anti-codon, and T loops). The record is from RNAcentral. Lineage: Eukaryota; Metazoa; Chordata; Amphibia; Anura; Microhylidae.
GUGAAUAUAAUUUAACUAAAAUCUUAGGUUGUGGUCCUAAAAAUGAAGGCUAAUUUCCUUCUACUCACC